AAAAUAUAAUAAUAAUAAUAGGGUUAAUUGUAUACUGCUUUUUGUAAAAACUAGAUUUUCACCCGUGUGAUGCACGGCUAACAUAAUAAUAUAGAAUAAUAAAAAUUAUUAUGUGAUGAUAACAGAAAAAUUUUCUAAUUAAUUUUAUUUUUUUUAACAAAUAAAAAAAUAUACUAUCAAUCUUAAUUAUAGUACAUAUUAAAGUACACAAGCAAGAGAAAAAAAAUUUGGACCAAAGUAAAUAUUCAACUAAAAUGCAAAAUUCAAUCCUGCUCUAUUAUCUAUGAAUUGGUGUGCAAAAUAAUUUACAUUUACAUAUUGAUGUACGAAAUAAAAUGAUAACUAAAAUUAAUAUGAAAAAUUACAAAUGACAUUAAUNAUUUUCUAAUUAAUUUUAUUUUUUUUAACAAAUAAAAAAAUAUACUAUCAAUCUUAAUUAUAGUACAUAUUAAAGUACACUUACAUAUUGAUGUACGAAAUAAAAUGAUAACUAAAAUUAAUAUGAAAAAUUACAAAUGACAUUAAUAUUUAAGCAUCUAAUAAGAUCAACUAAACUUUCAUAUUUGACACAAAUUAAAGUAAGCACACAUAUAUUAUGUUCCUACUGUCACUUUUAAGAUUUAAAAAUAUAUAGAUGUUGGUUUUCAAGAAAAUAUAAAGAAAAAAAAUUUGUUGCAUGAAGAUGGAAAGUUACAGGAGUGACAGUAGAGAAAAAAAUUACGAAAUGAAAAUUACAGAAGUGAUAGUAGGGAAAUAAUAUGUUCUAUUUUAAAGCAUCAAUAUUUAAGAGCGAAAAAAAUUACAGGAGUGAUGUGAGUUUUAAAUUUUUUUCACUUUCCAAAAAUGUCUCUAUUUUUUUUUACUAAUAUUUUUAUGUCCAGAAAUUUUCAACCAAUCAUUUCAAAUAAUUAACUAAGUAAUAAUUUAUUCCCAAAUAAAGAUAAAUACUUUCCUUCUCACGCGUAAUAUCCGCACCGCCAAUUCUUUCGCAACAUAAUAUCUGUAAAUUUCUCAAAUAUCUCAACAUAAUUAUAGGUGACUUUGAAAUAAAAUUUUUUUCAUUAUAUGUGAUUUUUAAUAAUAUAGUAAAAGAUAUUAAUUUUUUAUAAAAGCGUGAGUUUUAAAUUUUUUCUCUUUCCAAAAAUAUCUCUAUCCUUUUUUACUAAUAUUUUUAUGUCCAGAAAUUUUCAACCAAUCAUUUCAAAUAAUUAACUAAGUAAUAAUUUAUUCUCAAAUAAAGAUAAAUAUUUUUCUUCUCACGCGUAACAUCUGCACCGGCCAAUUUUUUUGCUACAUAAUAUUCGUAAAUUUUUUAAAUAUCUCAACAUAAUUAUAGGUGACUUUGAAAUAAAAUCUCUUUCAUUAUAGGUGAUUUUUAAUAAUAUAGUAAAAGAUAUUAAUUUUUUGCCAUUAGAUCUUAUCUAAUGAUUGAAAAUAAAAAUAUCUGUUAAUUUUUAUAACAAUAUUACCCUCGCAUUUAUAUCCUAUUUUCUAUCUACGCGUUUCUCAAAUAUUUUCCUUCUCACGCGUAAUAUCCGCACCAGUCAAUUAUUUCACAACGUAAUAUUCGUGAAUUUCUCAAAUAUCUCAUUAAUCCACCUGUCAUUUGAAUUUAAUAAUAUAGUAAAUAGAAUAGAUAUGAUGACACGUGGAAAACAUAUAGAAAGCCACGUUAGAAAAUUGUCUCUAUCCUUUUUUACUAAUAUUUUUAUGUCCAGUAAUUUUCAACUAAUAAUUUCAAAUAAUUAACUAAGUAGUAAUUUAUUCCCGAAUAAAAAUAAAUAUUUUCCUUCUCAUGCGUAAUUUCUGUACCUGCCAAUUCUUUCGCAACGUAAUAUCCGUAAUUUCUUAAAUAUCUCAAUAACUUUGAAAUAAAAUUUCUUUCAUUACAGGUGAUUUUUAAUAAUUUAGUAAAAGAUAUUAUUUCCUUUAAAAAUUUAAUUUUAUUUUUUCUAAAUCUCCUUCAUUCAUUAUAGGUGAUUUUUAAUAAUAUUGUAAAAAAUACUAUUUUCUUAAAAAGUUUAAUUUUAUUUUCCCUAAAGUAGUCAUAUUUCCUAAAGUAACUAUAGGUGACUUUGAAAUAUUCCAUAAAGUAGAAAAUUUAUAUUUGAGCUUCACACGUAAAUUUUCUAUAUAGUAAAAGAUAUUAUUUUCUUAAAAAAAUUAAUUUUAUUUUUCCUAAAGUAGUCAUAUUUUCUAAAGUAGUAAUAUCCGCACAACAUAAUUAUAGGUGACUUUGAAAUAUUCCAUAAAGUAGAAAAUCUAUAUUUGAGCUUGACACGUAGAUUUUCUAUAUAAUAAAAGAUAUUAUUUGAGCUUGACACGUAGAUUUUCUAUANAAUUAAUUUUAUUUUUCCUAAAGUAGUCAUAUUUUCUAAAGUAGUAAUAUCCGCACAACAUAAUUAUAGGUGACUUUGAAAUAUUCCAUAAAGUAGAAAAUCUAUAUUUGAGCUUGACACGUAGAUUUUCUAUAUAAUAAAAGAUAUUAUUUGAGCUUGACACGUAGAUUUUCUAUAUAAUAAAAGAUAUUAUUUUCUUAAAAAAUUUAUUUUUUUUCUAAAAUAAAAAAUUUAUAUUUGAGCUUGACACGUGACAAACAUAUAGAGCGCCACGUGUCAACUUCUCAUAUAAGGUUCAUUAAGGAUUCUACUUUAGUAUAUAGUAAUAGAUAAUAUCGAAUGACAAAUAUAUUUUUAUAAAAUUUAAUAUUUUAUUUUUAUUUCCGUAAAAUUUUAAUAAUAUUUAUAUUUGUCCCUCCAGUUUAUUGCUGUUAGAGUAUUGUUUAUUUUUUAAUAGCAGAUAAGUAAAAUGAUAUUUUUGCUAUCAUAAUUAUAUCGUUUCAAAAGUUCGCACUCUUAUAAUUAUGCAAAAAUAUCUUUUAAAAUGUCAUCUUUUUUACUUUAUAAGUGAAUAUAAUUAUUUUAAUAUAAGAGAGAUAAAAAGGUUAAUUUACCUCAUUCAUUAAUGAGAAAUAAAUAUUUUAUCUAUAUUUAACUAUAUCUUUCUAACUGAUUCUAACAGUAAUAAUAGAUUUGAAAAUAUUCAAUUUUUAUAGGAAUAAAAAUAAAAAAUUAAAAUUUAUAGAAAUAUAUUUACUAUUUAAUAUAUUUAUAUUUAAUAUAUUUAU
Molecule: long non-coding RNA, 3127 nt
Filed under: Ananas comosus (pineapple)
Lineage: Eukaryota; Viridiplantae; Streptophyta; Magnoliopsida; Poales; Bromeliaceae
Description: long non-coding RNA (ACOM_LNC008279)
Source: RNAcentral